Long non-coding RNA from Nanorana parkeri, 127 nucleotides. RefSeq lists it as uncharacterized. The transcript is spliced from 5 exons. Lineage: Eukaryota; Metazoa; Chordata; Amphibia; Anura; Dicroglossidae. The record is from RefSeq and is a predicted model, not a curated record.
UUGGAGUUGCACCAGCAGCUGUUAGAGUUACGCCCGUCUCAGAUGCUAGUGUCUUUGGUUCUAUGCACUGCCUAAGCUGUACGUGAAACUGCACUACAGUGUUAAAUGUGCUAUUCACAGCAGGGUG